Arachis duranensis is the source of this 2114-nucleotide long non-coding RNA. RefSeq lists it as uncharacterized. The record is from RefSeq and is a predicted model, not a curated record. NCBI's taxonomy places the organism in Eukaryota, Viridiplantae, Streptophyta, Magnoliopsida, Fabales, Fabaceae. The transcript has 5 exons.
CCCAUCUGUUCUUAUCAAAGGCACAAACUCAUCUCCUCUCCUCUCUUCUCUGAGAACCUCAUUCUGUCUAGCUUUGUAAUGGUGAUCCUCAGUGUACAGCCACUGCCUCCAUUCAUCAUAGCUGUUGUGACAGCACCAUCAAUAUCAGAACCAAAGCCACCUCUUACAUGAUUUGGUGAACUUUUGUAUAUUUUGGUAUUCUUGACUUCUCACCUCACCAGCAUCAUUGCUUUUUCUAGUUGAUCUCUGUUGCGCUUCCGUGUAGAUGCACUUGAUCCUGCCUUUGUAGCAUUUUUGGUAUGGUAUCCUGCAACUUCUCUCUCUUCCAGGGGUUAGCGCAGCCACCGCAGUGACGGGUUUGACCACUGCAGCCCCCACCGCGUCGUUGUCAUCACCAAGCUCGCCUUCUCUCUGUUCGCCUCAGGAAGCUCGAGAAGAAGCAUGGGAUAAAGUUUCUAUUCUUGAGCUUGAGAUAAAUGCCGCAAUGCGGGAUCUAGAUUUUGAGAGGAGGAGAUUAAGAGGUGCCAAGGAAAGACUUAUGCUUUGGGAAACACAACUACGGGCAUUUUAUUCCAUUACUGAGGAGAUGCAAGUACUCUUUGCUAAGCAACAGGAGCAAUUAAAUGCUAUGCAGAGAACUCUUGAAAACGAAGAGAAUUACGAGAAUACUUGUGUAGAUAUGGAUGGAGUGAUCGGUGGAACCCCUGGAAGAGAGAGAAGUUGCAGGAUACUAUAGUUGCAGGAUCAACUGCAUCUACACUGAAGCGCAACAGAGAUCAAGUAGAAACCUCAAGCAAUGAACCUAGUGUCACUGAGAAGCAUGACUGUGAGGUGAGAAGUCAAGAAUGCCAAAAUACACGAGUUCACCAGUGCAGAUCAUGACCAUGAUGUAAGAGGUGGCUUUGGUUAUGAUAUUAAUGGUGCUGGCACAAUAGCUAUGAUGGAUGGAGGCACUGGCGGUACUGAGGAUCCCCAUUACAAGGCUAGACGGAAUGAGGAAGAUGACACUUCUACGGAAGAAGAUUACACAUAUGAUUAGGAUUAUUGGAUUUGGUGGACCUCAAAUGGUAUAUACAAAGAUUGUUAAAAUGAGAAAACUUCAAAGAAAAUUAUGGGCUUCUAAUGAAGUCAGAGCUUCUAAUCUUUCACUCAGCAUUGACAUAACAUUGUCCUAAGUGCAAUUGAGAAAUUAAAGGAGAGUGAGGUCAAGACUUUGAGAAAAGUCUUACUUGACUUUAGCUUGUCUUACUAGUUUUUUUUAUUAAAUUUUGUACCGUAAUUGUUUGAAAAUUCUGAUUUAUGUUUAGACUGAAGAGAUCACUAUAACUCGAGACAUUAAAAGAUACGACCAACACACCAGGAAUAGAAGUGUCGGAAGUUGCAGGUGUAGCCACAACCAAGAAACCAUGAUUGCCACAAUAUCCUAUGCAUCAUUAUCCAAUGGUCCAUCCUUAUCAACCUUAUGGUGGAGUCCUCCCAAUUCCUUUUCAUCUUGUUCAAAAUGGCAUGGCGUACUUCAACCAUUAUCCUUCUAUUGCUGGAAGUAAAUCAUAUCCUCAGUUAUCCCAUGUCUCGCCGUAUUCUAGUGGACCCAGUGAUAGUUAUACAUGGGUUGGACUUUUGAAUGAUGCCAUCAACAACAAAAAGCCAGAAUUGCAGGAUGAAUGUUGCUGCUUUAGAUUCUUGUCAAGAGAUGGUGUUGAUAUUCAUCAUUCCCUUAAGGUUAGUCUCUGUUUGUUCUUUAAAAGGUGUACUGAAAAUUUUGUUUGGUUUCUGUUUUUUAACAGCGUUGUAGACUUUAGGAUCGCACGAUCUUCUAGUCACCAGAUAGCGCAUGGUGACACUACUAUGUUCAUAGUGCAGGAUAUAGAUUGCAUUGAAGGUUGUAAUACUAGUUCUCGAUGUUCAUGCAGCUAUUGCAAAAGAUCCUCAGCACUUCCGGCAAAUUGUUGUUUUCCUGGUUGACAAAUUUCGGAUAGACAAUUCUCUUUUGGAGAACUAUGCUUUUUCCUUGUUGCAAAAUUUUAUCUUUAUUUAUACAGUUUCACUAAAAUAUUGUAUUUACUUAUAUUUUUUACCUUUAGUUAUUAAAUUCUAUUUUUUUUAAUGCUCUA